This 226-nucleotide ribosomal RNA is filed under the name uncultured bacterium. RNAcentral describes it as "partial 16S ribosomal RNA". It matches the Rfam family "Bacterial small subunit ribosomal RNA", at positions 538 to 762 of the family's 1533-position model. The record is from RNAcentral.
GCGUUGUUCGGAUUUACUGGGCGUAAAGGGCGCGUAGGCGGCCUCCGCAAGUCAAUUGUGAAAUCUCCGGGCUUAACUCGGAAAGGUCAACUGAUACUGCGGGGCUAGAGUGCGGAAGGGGCAAUCGGAAUUCUCGGUGUAGCGGUGAAAUGCGUAGAUAUCGAGAGGAACACCUGCGGCGAAGGCGGGUUGCUGGGCCGACACUGACGCUGAGGCGCGAAAGCUA